This is a long non-coding RNA of Fukomys damarensis (Damara mole-rat), 1320 nucleotides long. RefSeq lists it as uncharacterized. NCBI's taxonomy places the organism in Eukaryota, Metazoa, Chordata, Mammalia, Rodentia, Bathyergidae. The transcript is spliced from 3 exons. The record is from RefSeq and is a predicted model, not a curated record.
AACUAAAUUCGUGAAACUGCUCUCCUGUUGUUCUUCCCUCGGGUUUGGGACCUGCUGGCAGGAUUCUGAUGUUGCAGCUCGUGACAAGGGCACAAACAGAAGCAGGAUCUUUUGGUGACAAUGAACUGACCUCUCCAACUAUGGUUGUGUGAUUACAAACUAUAGUCAUUGCAGAAAACUCCAGCACAAAGUCUGAUCAAGCAAUCACAUGAAGAAAGGAUUCACUUUGCAAUUCUACACUGCGUUCUAUUCCUGGGUCGUUUCUGUGUCCGUCAUCCAACCUGAAUCCAUUUCCCUGUCCGUACUCAUCCUUCGUGGCCUUGACACUUUUAAAAGACACAAUCAAUAAUUGCAACUAUAAAAUUUUAAUUCCAUAUGAAUUUUCUAGUAUUAUGAGUUUAUGCAUUGUUGAUACAAGUACCUGAGAGAGGUUUUUAUGUUCUGCUUAUACAUGGUAUCAGGAGGUGCAUGAUGCUGUUUAUUACUGGUGAUGUUAACCUUGAUCACUUGGGAGGGAUGUCUGUUAUGCUUUGUUCCUGUAAUAUUCUAAUUAUUCACUUUUAAUAUACAAAUAUCUUGGGAUAUGUUAAACUGUGUACAUAUCCUGUUUCUUUUCAUACAUUCUCCUACUAAUUCUGUUGAUCAAUAUAGCAAUAAUGUGGUUUUGUCUGAUGGUGACUUUGAAUUUAUUUCAAUUCUUCCAUAUUUAUUAGUAGGCAUAUCUUUAAAAGGAAGAGUUGCUUACUCUGCAUUUAGGUGUGUUCAAUAUUAAUUUAUAUUUGAAGCAUAGAUAUUUAUUUUAUUUCAUGAGUUAGAGUCCUGUAGUAUCAUUACUAAUCUUGCUCAAAUAUUUUUGGUUUGUCCAUUGGCGCUCCACUCCUCCUUCACAGGUCUUGAUUGCCUUUGGAUCACUCUCUCACUUCCUGGUACCAUUAGACAUACAGGCUUAUUGUAUUUACCUUAUCCUAAGCUGACAGACAACUACCACUUUAAUAAGGUCUUAUUUCUUUUAUUACUAUCAAAACACCAAGAUCUGGACAUUGGGUAUAUUGAAAUUUAAUUGUUUCUGAGUCCUCUCAACCAACAUAUUCACACAUAUUCAUACAUUUAUAUUCAUUCUAUCACUUUAAUCUAGAAACAAACCUGAACUCUGAUUCUAAUCUAACACUACCAGGUUCUUUCCAACUUUUCCCGUUUUUCUUAUAUGUAACAUUUCUGGCAGCAAAAAAGCUAGGUUUCACCACAUAAAAUAUAGUUACUUAUUUGUUCAACACACAGAUAAUAUGAUAUAGUUACAAAAUCACUAAACAUAUAGUAGUU